CGGGGGGCAGCAGUGGGGAAUAUUGGACAAUGGGCGAAAGCCUGAUCCAGCAAUGCCGCGUGAGUGAUGAAGGCCUUAGGGUUGUAAAGCUCUUUUACCAGGGAUGAUAAUGACAGUACCUGGAGAAUAAGCUCCGGCUAACUCCGUGCCAGCAGCCGCGGUAAUACGGAGGGAGCUAGCGUUGUUCGGAAUCACUGGGCGUAAAGCGUGCGUAGGCGGUGACUCAAGUCAGAGGUGAAAGCCUGGAGCUCAACUCCAGAACUGCCUUUGAAACUAGGUCGCUAGAACAUCGGAGAGGUGAGUGGAAUUCCGAGUGUAGAGGUGAAAUUCGUAGAUAUUCGGAAGAACACCAGUGGCGAAGGCGGCUCACUGGACGAUUGUUGACGCUGAGGCACGAAAGCGUGGGGAGCAAACAGGAUUAGAUACCCCGGU
RNAcentral lists this ribosomal RNA (432 nucleotides) under uncultured Sphingomonadaceae bacterium. RNAcentral's name for it is "bacterial SSU rRNA". It matches the Rfam family "Bacterial small subunit ribosomal RNA", at positions 342 to 791 of the family's 1533-position model. The record is from RNAcentral. Lineage: Bacteria; Pseudomonadati; Pseudomonadota; Alphaproteobacteria; Sphingomonadales; Sphingomonadaceae.